This 94-nucleotide small RNA is filed under the name Cloacibacterium normanense. Its description in RNAcentral is "Flavo-1 RNA". It matches the Rfam family "Flavo-1 RNA". The record is from Rfam by way of RNAcentral. Lineage: Bacteria; Pseudomonadati; Bacteroidota; Flavobacteriia; Flavobacteriales; Weeksellaceae.
UUCUGGACAAGCGAUAGCAGUGGAAAUCCUUUUUCGGUGGCGGCAGCAAAGCUGCCGCCACCGAAAAAGAUUGUAACGAAUAGCGCGGUUCCGA